ACUACCAUUUUUUCAAAAUUUUUUUUUUUUAGGAAUAAAAGGCAACGCGCGUCACUUAAGAUCGCGAAAGUGAAACUCAAUAUUUUAAGGAUAACAGGAGUAAAAACACUUGUCGAUGUGGCGAACUCAGAGGAGGAAUUCAGGAACACCACGGUUGAAGAGUUGAAAAGAAUCUUUUUAAAAUACGACGACGACUUAAGAAAAACGCAACUCUUAAGACUGCUCUUCGCAGGUCGUCAACUGGAGGAUUGUGAUACUCUUGGGAAACAUGGCAUUACACACAGAGCUACUAUUUUAGUCAUUUUUCGUCUACUUGGUGGAGGUCCACUUCCACCUGAAGAUGAAGAUAAAAGAAUACCCAGGACUGAAUCAAUGGAAAGAUUAGCUUCAAUGCAGCAGACUGAGCCAGAACUCAACACAUCAUGUCUGAUUCUGUAGUUCAGUUCAGCCUCAUAUAAAUCCAUACACUGUGGGCUCAUAAGUGUAAUAUCAUUUACAAUUACUACCAUAAAAUACAUACUGUAUUCUCUUCUGGUUUCAGCCUCUUAGAGUAAAAUAGUUCAUAACACCUUGUACAAAUAUGAAAAAUAUAAACAGUCACAAUGAACUGCUCACCUGUACCCAAAAACACCAUUUACAGUUAAAGAGUCAUUAGUUAACAGAAUAAUAACCCGUCCAUAAAGAACACAGAUUCACUCUGAACAUUUACUAGCAUUUCUCUUGUUAAUUAUAAAUUCUCUUGUGUUACAACAUUUGUAACUUUUGCUGAAGAGGCUGAAAUCAGAACAAAAUACAUGAUAUUGAAUUUCAAGGUAGUACAUUUGAACAAAAUAUGAACAACAGUUUUUAAGGCUCUGUUAAUAGUCUUAAAACUGACCCUUUAUUCUGUCACCAUAAAAUAAAGUGCCUCAUGGGUAUUUAAUGAUAAAGUGUUUAUCUGUAUAGUCAGGGCAGGUUUAGGGAGAGCUAGAAUCUAUCAUUGUUAGCACUUAGCAUAUCACUGAAAUACUGCUAUUUUCACUCUGUGUAAAACGCCCAUCAUAUUUCGGGUAAUAUGAUCAGACUAGUUUUAGAUUACUCUUGACCUAACUUGUUUAUCAAAUUGACUUAAACAACAUAAUCUUGUACCAUUUUGAAAUAAAAAUACAAAGAGAAAGCAAAUACAUUCCAUGUGUUGUUGUUAACAGCAUUAAGUGCAUUAAACAUUGUAUUAGAUCCCAAGUCAAGGUUUCACAAGUUAAAGUAAAUCUAUUAGGUGACAGAGGAUCAAAAGUUGUGAGUUCAUGCAUUUUAAUGUGUUUGAAAGAAAAAAACCUUCCAAAAGACAUAUCAAUACAUGUUUAAAUAACCUAAAGAGUAAUAAUGCAAAUAAAAGUGAAUGUGUUCAUCAGACGUUGAUGCAGUGUUGAGACACUUCUUAACCCUGAACUGAUUUGAUCUGAGAGAGUCCAGUGACUGAUCUCUGUGUCAGUGUGCACUAAACUGAACUGAGUGUAUGGUAGCAGCAGGCUAUUAUACUUACAAGACGAUAGGAAUUAGGGAGAAUCAAUAAUUAGGGACCAUUUAUUGCUAUUGUGUAAAUUAUGUGUAAUCCAUAAAAAAAGAAACCAUAAUCUGAUUAUUAAAUAUUAAAAGGUCAUUUAAUCUAAUUACAAAUACUAUUUUUUUCUGAUUACAUAAUCCAGAUUACAUGUAAUCAGUUAAUACUGUAUUUCAAUCUUUUGCUAACAUUUAUGAUAUGCACUUUUAUAUUUUAACUUUUUGUUGUUGUUGCUUUUCCCUUUCCUUGUUCUUUGAUGCCUGUAGAUAGUUUUACAGCAUUUUCCUUCCCUUUUUCUGACUUCUAUUUGCUGUAACAUCAAUAACCUCAAAACUAGAGAGAACAGAGAGCACAGAAAUAGGCCUAAAUAUCACUAAACAAUAUUUUGUAGUGCCAAGAUUGUCUAAAUAUUAUGCAUGAUAUAAUUUUUUUUUAAAGUCUGUUUUGGUUUUUCAAUCGAAUUUUCUUUUUCCAAAUUGAAAUGUUAUAAAAUGACUGAUAACGUGACGUUCGGCCGAAAGGCGGGGCCACGCAGUCACGUGACCUUGCGUCUCCAGGAAGUUUUCGUCGCAGCUGAUUAAUAUUCAUGAGCGCGCUUCCGCCAGAGCGUGAUUGAUCUUCAUGGCUGCUCUUUCAGUCAGAAAAACAGCGAUAUCUUCGAGUUUUGUUCGUCUGCACGCUGUUAGUCUUCUGCUCACUGCUCUACAUCUUUAAUCAGCUCGUGUCGUCUCUGGAGCGCGCGGAUCAUCGGGAGCGAGCGCCGCGGACACGCGCAGCGGACACAGGCCUGAGUGAACGCGCGCAGGAUGACAGGUAAACAAACAAUAACACACACAAGAUGUACAAAAUCAACCUCACAACAUCAUAUACAAACAUCUGUGCAAAGAUCUUCUCGACGACACAAAACUGAACUUCUAUACACCGGACUCAUGAUGUGACCGCUUUAAACUAGCUUUAAUGACUGGACAGGUGUUAUAAAUAAUCGAAAUCUUUACCAGUGCUGCGUAUGUUAGUAAUUGAAUGCGGCUGAUACUCAUAUAAGAAAGUUGUUUUAAUAUAACGGUUGUUUGAUGGAUUUCUAGUCAUUUAAGCCUACUAAUGUACUCGGGCUGAAGCUGCUAACAUCGAAUUAAUAUUCAUAAGCUUCCUUGUUAAGGCCCUUUAAUAGAAGCCGUUAAUUAAGUGAUAAAUGCU
This 2734-nucleotide long non-coding RNA is filed under the name Carassius auratus (goldfish). RNAcentral describes it as "lncRNA (ENSCARG00000008421.1)". The record is from RNAcentral. Lineage: Eukaryota; Metazoa; Chordata; Actinopteri; Cypriniformes; Cyprinidae.